Molecule: ribosomal RNA, 299 nt
Filed under: Bacillus anthracis (anthrax bacterium)
Lineage: Bacteria; Bacillati; Bacillota; Bacilli; Caryophanales; Bacillaceae
Description: partial 16S ribosomal RNA
Rfam family: Bacterial small subunit ribosomal RNA
Source: RNAcentral
GGUCGUAAAACUCUGUUGUUAGGGAAAAACAAGUGCUAAUUGAAUAAGCUGGCACCUUGACGGUACCUAACCAAAAAGCCACGGCUAACUACGUGCCAGCACCCGCGGUAAUACGUAGGUGGCAAGCGUUAUCCGAAAUUAUUGGGCGUAAAGCGCGCGCAGGUGGUUUCUUAAGUCUGAUGUGAAAGCCCACGGCUCACCCGUGGAGGGUCAUUGGAAACUGGGAGACUUGAGUGCAGAAGAGGAAAGUGAAAUUCCAUGUGUAGCGGUGAAAUGCGUAGAGAUAUGGAGGAACACCA